CAAAUAAAUGAGCUAUCAAUGCAUCUUGAGGAUCUGGAAAAACAGCAGCAAAUCAAAGCCAAAACUAGUAGGAGAAAAGAAAUAAUUAAAAUUAGAGAAAAAUCAAGAAAAUUUAAUCCAAAAAAAUACAAAAACUAGCAGAACGAAGACCUGGGUUUUUUAAAAAAUAAACAAAAUUGGCACACCAUUGGCCCAAGUAACCAAAAAAAAAAAAAAAAAGGAGAAAGAAAGUCAAUAAAAAUAGAGAUGAAGAACAGAUACCACAGAGAUACAAAGAGUCAUCAGAAAUUACUACAAAGAGCUGUCUGCCCACAAACUGGGAGACCUGGAAGAAAUGGAUAGAUUGCUGGAGGGGUGGGAGUAUGUGUAGGAGGGUGGCUAUGGGGGAAGAAUAAUUAUAUUCCUAAAGUUGUACUUAUGAAAAUUGUAUUCCUUAAAAAAAUUAAGUAAUUAAUUUUUAAAAAUGUAGUCUCCAAACCCCCAUGUGAUAUAUACCUGGUUGACUUACACGUAGAUUUCUGGACCUGAUCCCAAAUAUCUGAGCCUGAAUGUGGGAGAUCACAAUGGAGUACAAAAAAGAGUGAUAUAGCCUAAAUCCUACAUAUUAAUUAAUAAUUUUCAUUACACAUUUUUCAACACAUUUUUAAAAUUAUCUUAUUUAAGAGAGGUAGGGAGACAUUGUCAAACAGAGCUCCCAUCCAUUGGCUCACUCCCCUAAAUACCCACAAUAGUCAGAAUUCAGCUGGGACCAAAGCUAGGGCCAGGUCUCAAUCCAGAUCUCCUAUGUGGUUGACAGGCGCCCAGUCACUUGAUUCGUCACCAGGAACUCCCAGAGCCUGCCUUUACAGGAAGCUGAAGAAGCCAGAAAUCAAAUCCAGGUUCUCUGAUCUGGGACAUGGGUUUCUAAAUCAUUAUGCUAAAUGCCCUCUCUACACAUGCUCUUUUAAAAGUUAUUAUCCCAGAACAUUUCACAGAUGAGGAGAAUGGGGUCCCACUGGACUGGGAGUUUCUUUGCCGUGGGGACCCUCUGUGCUGUAGAGCAUGCUCAGCAGCAUGCAUGGCCCAGUGGAUCCCAGUGUCCCCUCCAUCCUACUCAUGUCACCCAGAAAUGGCUUUUUUUUUUUUUUGACAGGCAGAGUUAGACAGUGAGAGAGAGAGAGAGACAGAGAGAAAGGUCUUCCUGCCAUUGGUUCACCCCCAAAAUGGCCGCCACGGCUGGCCAAAAAUGUCUGAAGACAACACAGAGCACAACUGUGCCCCUCUUUGUUGAGAAACUGGGAACCAGAGAAACAUUGACAGGGAACAGUAUGUUCACCUAUUAAUAUUCUAUUCUUUAAUGACAGUGAAACCUGAAUAGCUUAAAAAUAUCACUGAGAGACUAGUUCCUAUUUCCAAUUUUUGUCACCAUCAGCCCAACCAAUGACCAAUCAACUUUUACAGUAAAGUCAAUGUUCUUUGUCAUCUCCCUGGUUUAUUAAUCACCCUUUUAUUUUCCUCAUAUAAUUAUCUUUUGACCGAGUCAAGUUGGAGAUGGUAAUUUUUUCGUUGUUAGCAGCGGAUCUCAGUAUGCAGAAACUGAAGACUAAUUCCUGAGCAAUAUGAUUGCAUAUGACUAUUUUUCUGUUCUUAAAUAGGAGAAUGAUGCUCCACAGCUCCAACGACCGACAUGCUCCUAAAUUAUUGACCGAGAAUCAACAGUCAUGAGAUUAGUUAGUCUGGUAGUUUUGCAUAAAAACCCAGUCUUCCAGUAACCUAAUUUCAGAGUUUCUCAGUGGCAUGGCAUUCAGUCUAGUAUCACAACAGGAUUUCCUCUUUUGUUUCGGAACUGCAUGGGCAGAAGUUCCCCAGGCUGUGCCAUUCUCAGUCUCAGUAUGAACUUGGCUGGGCUUUGGAUCUAAGCAAAGUAUUCAGUGUCUGUAUCACUGGACCUUCCACUGGGAGCAAGGAGGAACAUCCGGCCUCCUCCACUGCAUCUUUAGGGUCCUAAGAGAAAGCACAAAACAAGCCACCAUGCGUGCGCCACACUGUCAGGGAAAUUCUAAUGAGUGUGGGCUUGGCAGCUUUGUUCUCUAGGAAGGAUUCUGUCAGUAGAGAGCCACCUACAUGGGCAUAAAAAUGGAAAACAGCAGCAGUGUGUGCAUUCCAUUAGCUGGAGCCCUGGAAUGUUCAGUGGUUUUCUUAAAACUACUUUCUCAUAAAUCCCCAUGAAGCACUUUGUUCUACUUCCAGUAAAAUACAUUUAAAUUUCAAAUUAAAGUAGUUUCAUGUGCAAAAAUAAAGCAUUUGAUUGUAUUUUAAGGAUGAGAGGA
Molecule: long non-coding RNA, 2309 nt
Filed under: Oryctolagus cuniculus (rabbit)
Lineage: Eukaryota; Metazoa; Chordata; Mammalia; Lagomorpha; Leporidae
Description: lncRNA (ENSOCUG00000032842.1)
Source: RNAcentral